RNAcentral lists this ribosomal RNA (253 nucleotides) under uncultured bacterium. RNAcentral describes it as "partial 16S ribosomal RNA". It matches the Rfam family "Bacterial small subunit ribosomal RNA", at positions 524 to 776 of the family's 1533-position model. The record is from RNAcentral.
UACGUAGGGGGCUAGCGUUGUCCGGAUUUAUUGGGCGUAAAGAGCGUGUAGGCGGCCCGGUAAGUCCGCCGUGAAAGUCCAGGGCUCAACCCUGGAAUGCCGGUGGAAACUGCCGGGCUGGAGUCCGGAAGAGGCGAGUGGAAUUCCUGGUGUAGCGGUGAAAUGCGCAGAUAUCAGGAGGAACACCAAUGGCGAAGGCAGCUCGCUGGGACGGUACUGACGCUGAGACGCGAAAGCGUGGGGAGCAAACAGG